GACGAACGCUGGCGGCGUGCCUAAUACAUGCAAGUCGAGCGAAGUUUUUCUGGUGCUUGCACUAGAAAAACUUAGCGGCGAACGGGUGAGUAACACGUAAAGAACCUGCCUCAUAGACUGGGACAACUAUUGGAAACGAUAGCUAAUACCGGAUAACAGCAUUAACUGCAUGGUUGAUGUUUAAAAGUUGGUUUUGCUAACACUAUGAGAUGGCUUUGCGGUGCAUUAGCUAGUUGGUGGGGUAAAGGCCUACCAAGGCGACGAUGCAUAGCCGACCUGAGAGGGUGAUCGGCCACACUGGGACUGAGACACGGCCCAGACUCCUACGGGAGGCAGCAGUAGGGAAUCUUCCGCAAUGGGCGAAAGCCUGACGGAGCAACGCCGCGUGAGUGAAGAAGGAUUUCGGUUCGUAAAGCUCUGUUGUUAGGGAAGAAUGAUUGUGUAGUAACUAUACACAGUAGAGACGGU
RNAcentral lists this ribosomal RNA (468 nucleotides) under Gemella haemolysans. RNAcentral's name for it is "bacterial SSU rRNA". It matches the Rfam family "Bacterial small subunit ribosomal RNA", at positions 28 to 476 of the family's 1533-position model. The record is from RNAcentral. Lineage: Bacteria; Bacillati; Bacillota; Bacilli; Caryophanales; Gemellaceae.